RNAcentral lists this ribosomal RNA (253 nucleotides) under uncultured bacterium. RNAcentral describes it as "partial 16S ribosomal RNA". It matches the Rfam family "Bacterial small subunit ribosomal RNA", at positions 524 to 776 of the family's 1533-position model. The record is from RNAcentral.
UACGGAGGAUCCAAGCGUUGUCCGGAUUUAUUGGGUUUAAAGGGUGCGUAGGCGGAUUGAUAAGUCAGUGGUGAAAGCCUGCAGCUUAACUGUAGAAUUGCCGUUGAUACUGUCAAUCUUGAGUAUAUUUGAUGUGGGCGGAAUGUGUCAUGUAGCGGUGAAAUGCUUAGAUAUGACACAGAACACCGAUUGCGAAGGCAGCUCACAAAACUAUAACUGACGCUGAGGCGCGAAAGCGUGGGUAGCAAACAGG